CUACGGGAGGCAGCAGUGGGGAAUAUUGGACAAUGGGCGGAAGCCUGAUCCAGCAAUACCGCGUGUGUGAAGAAGGCCCGAGGGUUGUAAAGCACUUUCAAUGGGGAGGAAAAAGCGCAGGCGAACACCCUGUGUAUUGACAUUACCCAUACAAGAAGCACCGGCUAACUCCGUGCCAGCAGCCGCGGUAAUACGGAGGGUGCGAGCGUUAAUCGGAAUUACUGGGCGUAAAGCGUGCGUAGGCGGCCUGCCAAGCCAGGUGUGAAAGCCCCGGGCUCAACCUGGGAACGGCACUUGGAACUGGCAAGCUAGAGUUGGGUAGAGGGGAGUGGAAUUUCAGGUGUAGCGGUGAAAUGCGUAGAUAUCUGAAGGAACACCAGUGGCGAAGGCGGCUCCCUGGACCCAAACUGACGCUGAGGUACGAAAGCGUGGGUAGCAAACAGGAUUAGAUACCCUGGUAGC
Molecule: ribosomal RNA, 462 nt
Filed under: uncultured bacterium
Lineage: Bacteria
Description: bacterial SSU rRNA
Rfam family: Bacterial small subunit ribosomal RNA
Source: RNAcentral